UGGUGGUAAUUUGGUAACACUAAUUUACCGUCAAUCACUCAUCACUGUCAGUCAGUCACCAAGAACUAAGUGGUGGCACGCACGACGUGACGAGGUGUUCACGAAGUGGAAAUUUACGAGGUAUUAAUGAAUUUUUGCAUGUUGAAAAGUGAUGUGCGCCAAGAAGUAGAUGCUUACUCCUUGAAUAUAUAAUAAAGUGGUGUGGGUGAUUUAGGAGAAGGUAUUGUGAUAAUUAGUGGAAGUGUGAUGUUGUCGACUCCAGGCAGACUUAAACUCUUUGCCAGGACGGUGCAAUAUAGCCACUAUCUUGGAAUGAUGAGGUAUGGUACCUUGGCAAAAGGUCAGUCCCAGAAUUCAGGAGGCUUUCGGCCGGACAGAUGAAGUUUAUCUGAGAGGGACAGAUGAAGUUUAUCUGAGAGGGACAGAUGAAGUUUAUCUGAGAGGGACAGAUGAAGUUUAUCUGAGAGGGACAGAUGAAGUUUAUCUGAGAGGGACAGAUGAAGUUUAUCUGAGAGGGACAGAUGAAGUUUAUCUGAGAGGACAGAACAUGAUUACGUGUCUGGGAAUAAUAAAAUGGUCUUUCAUGCAGUGCAUUAUUGAGUAGAGCGUUGCAUCGUUUUGUACAUGUCUGCUACUAAAUUUCCUAGUUUUUGCGUGUGUGUGUGUGUGUGUGUGUGUAUGUGUGCGCUGUCUGCUGUCUGAUGAUAUUUUAGGCUUAAUGUGCGCACGGCUGGAAUACGUAUUAUCUUACUGGUCAAAUGGCGAUUUUCUUCACGAUUGAGAGUGCUCUUUGUCUUGUUGGUUUGUUCGACGAUAGUUCAUCAAAUUGGCUAUGAAAGAGUUUGAUGAUAAUCUUAGAAUAAGGGAUCCGUGGAAAGGAACGAGUGCACUACAAAAAUUAAACAAAUCAGAAGACGCCGAUAGAUUUAGUCGAGACGUUCCUCGUUAUGGUAACAUGAAUGCCAUAAGGGAGUCUUGGUCAUAAUUAUCAGUUGGAAUAGUGAAUAAAGCUUGUUUUAUUUAUUUUUUAUAUGAUCAUAAGUGUAUGUGUAGGUUAAAGUUAGCGUUUAAUAUCCGUAAAAUUAAC
This is a long non-coding RNA of Macrobrachium nipponense, 1087 nucleotides long. RefSeq lists it as uncharacterized. NCBI's taxonomy places the organism in Eukaryota, Metazoa, Arthropoda, Malacostraca, Decapoda, Palaemonidae. The transcript is spliced from 4 exons. The record is from RefSeq and is a predicted model, not a curated record.